GAUGAACGCUGGCGGCGUGCCUAAUACAUGCAAGUCGAGCGAACAGACGAGGAGCUUGCUCCUCUGACGUUAGCGGCGGACGGGUGAGUAACACGCGGAUAACCUACCUAUAAGACUGGGAUAACUUCGGGAAACCGGAGCUAAUACCGGAUAAUAUAUUGAACCGCAUGGUUCAAUAGUGAAAGACGGUUUUGCUGUCACUUAUAGAUGGAUCCGCGCCGCAUUAGCUAGUUGGUAAGGUAACGGCUUACCAAGGCAACGAUGCGUAGCCGACCUGAGAGGGUGAUGGGCCACACUGGAACUGAGACACGGUCCAGACUCCUACGGGAGGCAGCAGUAGGGACUCUUCCGCAAUGGGCGAAAGCUUGACGGAGCAACGCCGCGUGAGUGAUGAAGGUCUUCGGAUCGUAAAACUCUGUUAUUAGGGAAGAACAAAUGUGUAAGUAACUAUGCACGUCUUGACGGUACCUAAUCAGAAAGCCACGGCUAACUACGUG
RNAcentral lists this ribosomal RNA (497 nucleotides) under uncultured bacterium. RNAcentral's name for it is "partial 16S ribosomal RNA". It matches the Rfam family "Bacterial small subunit ribosomal RNA", at positions 28 to 507 of the family's 1533-position model. The record is from RNAcentral.